AACGCACGAGACCUGCGGACCUGCGGAGGGAUCAUUAAUGAAUAAACUUGUGGGUUGUUGCUGACCUCUUGGGGUAUGUGCACACCUGCCAUUGUUUCAUUCUCCCUUCCACCUGUGCACUCCCUGUAGACCGAGCUGCUGCAACUUCAGGUGCAUAUUAUGCACCUGGUAUAAGGACUUGCUCCCCUUGCUGUCCUUGAGCGGUAGUCUAGGUUUACGUCUUUACCAACUCCAUUGUAU
RNAcentral lists this unclassified non-coding RNA (240 nucleotides) under soil metagenome. RNAcentral describes it as "partial contains 5.8S ribosomal RNA, internal transcribed spacer 2, and large subunit ribosomal RNA". The record is from RNAcentral.